Molecule: ribosomal RNA, 384 nt
Filed under: Massilia soli
Lineage: Bacteria; Pseudomonadati; Pseudomonadota; Betaproteobacteria; Burkholderiales; Oxalobacteraceae
Description: partial 23S ribosomal RNA
Rfam family: Bacterial large subunit ribosomal RNA
Source: RNAcentral
GGACAAGUGAAUAAGUGCACAUGGUGGAUGCCUUGGCGAUUACAGGCGAUGAAGGACGUAGUAGCUUGCGAUAAGCUGCGGGGAGCUAGCAAACAAGCUUUGAUCCGCAGAUUUCCGAAUGGGGAAACCCGGCCUUUUAGGUCAUUGCAUACUGAAUACAUAGGUAUGCAAAGCGAACGCGGCGAACUGAAACAUCUAAGUAGCUGCAGGAAAAUAAAUCAACCGAGAUUCCCAAAGUAGUGGCGAGCGAAAUGGGAUGAGCCUGCAUGAUUUAGCAUGACGCAUAGUGGAACGGAUUGGAAACUCCGGCCAUAGAGGGUGAUAGCCCCUUACACGAAAUGCGAUGUGUGGAACUAAGUAUGCGACAAGUAGGGCGGGACACGA